RNAcentral lists this ribosomal RNA (468 nucleotides) under uncultured bacterium. Its description in RNAcentral is "partial 16S ribosomal RNA". It matches the Rfam family "Bacterial small subunit ribosomal RNA", at positions 28 to 507 of the family's 1533-position model. The record is from RNAcentral.
GACGAACGCUGGCGGCGUGCUUAACACAUGCAAGUCGAACGGAAAGGCCCUGCUUUUGUGGGGUGCUCGAGUGGCGAACGGGUGAGUAACACGUGAGUAACCUGCCCUUGACUCUGGGAUAACUUCAGGAAACUGGGGCUAAUACCGGAUAGGAGCGCCUGCUGCACGGGGGGGGUUGGAAAGUUUCGGCGGUUGGGGAUGGACUCGCGGCUUAUCAGCUUGUUGGUGGGGUAGUGGCUUACCAAGGCUUUGACGGGUAGCCGGCCUGGGAGGGUGACCGGCCACAUUGGGACUGAGAUACGGCCCAGACUCCUACGGGAGGCAGCAGUGGGGAAUAUUGCACAAUGGGCGGAAGCCUGAUGCAGCAACGCCGCGUGCGGGAUGACGGCCUUCGGGUUGUAAACCGCUUUCGCCUGUGACGAAGCGUGAGUGACGGUAAUGGGUAAAGAAGCACCGGCUAACUACGUG